RNAcentral lists this unclassified non-coding RNA (562 nucleotides) under Schizosaccharomyces pombe (fission yeast). RNAcentral describes it as "non-coding RNA (predicted)". The record is from RNAcentral. Lineage: Eukaryota; Fungi; Ascomycota; Schizosaccharomycetes; Schizosaccharomycetales; Schizosaccharomycetaceae.
GAUAUUAAAAGGAUUUUCAUCUCUUUAUAUAUCAAAAAUUUUCCAAACUUAAGUUCGACAAUAUCAAGAAUUUACUUCGGUAAAACGUAACUCAUGAUCCGCAGUCAUGAAAACUUUUGUCAUGUGUAGGGAAAAGCGCAGAAACAAAAAUUGCAUGUAGAAUCAUACACGGUAAUUAAAAUGAGGAGUAGUAAUAUAUUUUUAAGGCGAGGUGAAUGAUUUACAUAAUAAAUGGUCAGCGCAUACAAGAAAGUCCGACUGUUGGCGAUGCAGAGGUAAUAUUGGUCGCACUUCCACCAUACAGACAGUACCCACGUUCCGUUUACAUUUUAAAGGCGGUUUUUUAACGUGAUCACUUUAAACGCUUAUUAGAGGCUAGCGAACCGCACAAGAUGUCAUACAAGUACUUUUGCGUAAGCUUCAUCGACAUGUGAAUAACUUUGAAAGCUAGCGCAAUGUUUUCACAGUAGUGUGGGAAAACAGAUUUGAACAGAGGGAAAUUGAGAAAUUUAACAACUAGGAUUUUUUCCCGUACAACUUUUUCCUUAGCUUCUUAAUUAUC